CGCCAGACUCCUACGGGAGGCAGCAGUGAGGAAUAUUGGUCAAUGGGCGGAAGCCUGAACCAGCCAAGUCGCGUGAGGGAAGAAGGCCCUGCGGGUCGCAGACCUCUUUGGACGGGGAGCAAGGCCGCCGACGUGUCGGCGGAAGGAGAGUACCCGUAGAACAAGCAUCGGCUAACUCCGUGCCAGCAGCCGCGGUAAUACGGAGGAUGCGAGCGUUAUCCGGAUUUAUUGGGUUUAAAGGGUGCGCAGGCGGCACGGCAAGCCGGCGGUCAAAGCCCGGGGCUCAACCCCGGGCCGCCGUUGAAACUGGCAGUCUCGAGUUGGAGAGAAGUAUGCGGAAUGCGCGGUGUAGCGGUGAAAUGCAUAGAUAUCACGCAGAACUCCGAUUGCGAAGGCAGCAUACCGGCGCCCAACUGACGCUGAAGCACGAAAGCGUGGGUAUCGAACAGGAUUAGAUACCCCCGUACA
RNAcentral lists this ribosomal RNA (468 nucleotides) under uncultured bacterium. RNAcentral's name for it is "bacterial SSU rRNA". It matches the Rfam family "Bacterial small subunit ribosomal RNA", at positions 329 to 794 of the family's 1533-position model. The record is from RNAcentral.